This is a long non-coding RNA of Homo sapiens (human), 2541 nucleotides long. RefSeq annotates it as long independently transcribed non-coding RNA 2128. The record is from RefSeq and is marked validated. The transcript is spliced from 2 exons. Lineage: Eukaryota; Metazoa; Chordata; Mammalia; Primates; Hominidae.
AGAGCUCACCCUCUCUGAAGGAGAGCAGGUGCCUCCUGAGAGCAGGGCUUCUCUACCUUGGGGCACUAUGAACAUUCUGAGUGGGGUAAGUGUUUACUGUGGGAGGCCCUAUUCAUGGCAGGAGGUUUAGCAAUCUCCCUGGCCUCUAGCCACUAGAUGACAAUAGCACCCCUGCCACACCCACUGUGUAACAACCAAAAAUGUCUCCAGACAUUGCCAAAUGCCCCCUGGGUCGGGGACGAGAGGGCAAAAGCAGCCCCAGUUGGGAGCCACUGCUUUAGAGAAUGGAGCUUGGAGCUGAUUUCUGGGACAAAUCCCAUGGGAUAGCCAGGACGUGCACCUGGGCGCCCUGAACGAGUGCCCAGAUGCUUGUGAGGCCCAGAUCUUGGGGUGUGCAGCCAGGAAGGGCUCUGCUAGCUUUCCCACCUCCCUCCUGACCUCUUCUGCCCCUCACUGGACCCAGCCCGUUGGCUUCAGGAUGGGCCCCACGGGACAUGCUUUCAUGGAACCUGAGGAAAGAAUGCACUUACAACAGCGCCGGGAGCACAGAGGCUUCCCACUACCCUUUCCGAGAAGCACGUCUAUUUUCUCUAAUUUAUUCAGUGCCGCUGUGCGUGUGUGGCCUCUCAGGUAAAGAGUGAUUUCAGCUAACAUGCACCAUGCCUGCCACCUACCUGUACUGGAGAUUUCAGACUGAUGCCUCCCUUGGGUCUCCAGGGAACUUUCUGAUUCAAAUUCCAUUUGACACAGAUUCUGAAAGUGUGCCUUGCGAGGGCCCUGGCCUGCCAUCCUCAUUAUACUCAGAAGCCCAGAAGUAGCAGUGGCAGGGGCACCCUGGAAGCCCCGGGGUUCUCAUUAGGUGACAGAUGCCACCACAGGCCUCUGCCAUUUGCCAAGCUUCCUAUUACAAGCCACCUGGGAACAUUCACUCAGGGCUUUUUCAGACAGAGCUGCACAUCUGGCACUAUCUUGAGUCUGUGCCUCUGGGGACCCCGUCUGUACUCAGUUUCCCUAUCUGCAAAAUGAAAAACAUAAUACUUAUUUCUCAGGGAUGAAUAGAGAUAAUUCAGCAUGUUUUUCAAAUUUCAGUGUGUUGCCUGCGCCCUCAUGAGUUUUACUAUGACCACAUGCCACCUGUACCAUUAUGUUUAUUUUAUUUUUUAGAGAUGGAAGGUCUCAUUCUGUUGCCCAGGCUGUAGGGCAGUGGUGCUAUCCGUAGUUCACUGCAUCUUCAAACUCCCGGGCUCAAGGGAUCCUCUCACCUUAGUCUCUAGUACUACAGGUACACACUACCAAACUUGGCUGACUCCUUUAUUUAUAUAGAGAUGAGGUCUCGCUAUGUUGCCUAGGCAGCUCUGGAACUCCUGGCCUCAAGCCAUACUCCCAUCUUGGCCUCCCAAACUGUUGGGAUUACAGACAUAAGCCACCACACCCAACUUCAUUAUUUAUUUAAUUAAUAUUUCCUUAAAUGAAUCCAUGUUGAAAGACUUGAGCUGAUCUAUUUCAAAAGGAAAUUUUUAUAUUAUUAGCAUUAGAGGAAAAUUGAUAUCACUUGUCACAAAUGCAAAGCAAUAAGAAAAGACAAAGAAGACGACGUCAUAACUGUUUAUCUGUGUACCAACUAAACUCAUGAUGAAGAGCCAUGCUGUGCCUCCUGUGCUUUUGGAAGCACAUGAAUAUAAAGGAUGCCUAGGGUCUGGCACAUAGUAAGUACUCAAUGAAUGAUCACUGCUAUGAAGAAAAUGAGGCCAACGUGGUGUCGGCCCUUGGAAACAUUUCUCUGAGUUGGUCAAGGGGAACAAUUUUGCUCCAAGAAACUGUCAUAUUUAUUCUUCUCUGAUAAUUAGAGCUCCACAAUUUAUCAUGGUCGUAAGUUGCAAAAAUGGCAACAACCAUCACUCUUCCCAAUAAGAAGUGAAGUCCAUUUCCUGCCCCUAAAAUCUGGUCUGGCCUUGUGACUUGCUUCAGCCAAUGGAACAUAGCAGGAGUGCUGGUAUACCAGUUCUAAGCCUAGAGGAAGAGGCUUUCCAAGGGGCCUGACAGCUUCUGCUUUCUCGGGCCCCUGCUAUCACCAUGUGAACAAGCCUGGGUUGGCCUGCUGCUGGAUGAGAGGCCAUGUAGAACCCAGCCAAGGUGUCCCAGUUAAGGCCAUCUCAGAGCAGCCAGCACCCAGCACCCAGCAGCCUGCCAUUGGUCUCCAGAUGCACGCAUGAGCCCAACCAAGAUCAGCCAAUCCUGCCUCAGACCAGCAGAACUGUGCAGCCCAGCCUGAGAUUUGUGAGGAGUGACAAAUGGUGUUUUCAGCUUCUAGAUGUUGGGGAGAUUUGUUAUGCAGCAACAGCUGGCCUUCCCAUUUUGUCUUGUUUGUUGCGAUGGUGCCCAGUCAUAGCAGCUCCAUUUGUGCUAGAAUUAUUUAUCUAUUUCCUCUUCUUAAUUGUCUUCCCUUCCUUUUUCACUCCUUUGUGUGUGUUUUUGAAAGACACCUCAAGUAUCUUUGGAAAGGAGCUGGAUAUAGAUAAUAAAUUGAAAAUCGAACUGAGA